CUUACAUGCUAGAGGGAGUGGGGUAAAAUGACACAAAAAGGUAAAGGAUAGUAUUAAAUAUUAAAUAGGACUAAAUUCUAAAAAGAAAUUGGUAUUAAAUAUUAAAUCGGACUAAAUUCUAAAAAAAAAAAAAAAAAUGGCAGGAAAAAUGUUUUGUUUUUUUCUCCUUUUUAAUUUUUGAAGAAUUUGUAAACACCCCCGACGGUGUCAUCACUGCUGGUAUUCCGGUG
Molecule: non-coding RNA, 230 nt
Organism: Pelobates cultripes (western spadefoot toad)
Lineage: Eukaryota; Metazoa; Chordata; Amphibia; Anura; Pelobatidae
Source: the annotation of a GenBank genome assembly